RNAcentral lists this ribosomal RNA (402 nucleotides) under uncultured bacterium. RNAcentral's name for it is "bacterial SSU rRNA". It matches the Rfam family "Bacterial small subunit ribosomal RNA", at positions 355 to 773 of the family's 1533-position model. The record is from RNAcentral.
UGAGGAAUAUUGCACAAUGGGCGCAAGCCUGAUGCAGCAACGCCGCGUGAGGGACGAAGGCCUUCGGGUUGUAAACCUCUUUUCUGAGGGACGAGGAAGGACGGUACCUCAGGAAUAAGUCUCGGCUAACUACGUGCCAGCAGCCGCGGUAAAACGUAGGAGGCGAGCGUUAUCCGGAUUUACUGGGCGUAAAGCGCGCGCAGGUGGCUUCGUGAGUCGGACAUGAAAGCUCCUGGCUUAACUGGGAGAGGCUGUUCGAUACUGCGGGGCUUGAGGUUGGGAGAGGGACGCGGAAUUCCCGGUGUAGUGGUGGAAUGCGUAGAUAUCGGGAGGAACACCAGUGGCGCAAGCGGCGUCCUGGCCCACACCUGACGCUGAGGGGCGAAAGCGUGGGUAGCAAAC